GGAUGUGAGGGUGAUCUGGCUGCGACAUCUAUCACCCAUCGAUCGCCAGGGUUGAUUUGGCUGAUCUGGCUGGCUAGGCGGGUGUCCCCUUCCUCCUUCACCUCUUCAUUUGCGUCCCUCCCAAAGCUUUGUGCUCACUCUCAGAGGAAAGCCAUCCCAAAUAGAGAUGGUAUAUGUGGAGGGUAUAUGAAUAGCUGCAUUCCCCUGCUAGAACUUCCAAUCAAGCUCUCAAUCUAAUACUCAAGUAGAAGAUAAUUAGCAAAGAAAGGUGAAAAGUGUGUGUAAUCCUUUAAUUU
Molecule: unclassified non-coding RNA, 296 nt
Organism: Erinaceus europaeus (western European hedgehog)
Lineage: Eukaryota; Metazoa; Chordata; Mammalia; Eulipotyphla; Erinaceidae
Gene: 7SK
Rfam family: 7SK RNA
About the family: 7SK was discovered as an abundant small nuclear RNA in the mid-70s but a possible function has only recently been suggested. Two independent studies have found that 7SK RNA binds the CDK9/cyclin T complex (known as elongation factor P-TEFb). P-TEFb activates transcription by phosphorylating the C-terminal domain of RNA polymerase II.
Source: Ensembl